GACGAACGCUAGCGGCGUGCCUAAUGUAUGCAAGUCGCGCGAGGCCUUCGGGCCGAGCGGCGAACGGUUGAGUAACACGUCGGCAACCUGCCCCGGAGUGGGGAAUAACGCAGCGAAAGUUGCGCUAAUACCGCAUGUGGCCCUGGACCGCCUGGUCGAGUGGCUAAAGCCGCAAGGCGCUCCGGGAGGGGCCGGCGGCCUAUCAGCUUGUUGGUGGGGUAACGGCCUACCAAGGCUUCGACGGGUAGCUGGUCUGAGAGGAUGGUCAGCCAGACAGGGACUGAGACACGGCCCUGACUCCUUUGGGGGGCAGCAAUGAGGGAUAUUGCGCAAUGGGGGCAACCCUGACGCAGCGACGCCGCGUGGGUGAUGAAGUCCUUCGGGAUGUAAAGCCCUUUUGCCGGGGACGAGAACGGACGGUACCCGGCGAAUAAGCCCCGGCUAACUACGUGC
This 453-nucleotide ribosomal RNA is filed under the name uncultured bacterium. Its description in RNAcentral is "bacterial SSU rRNA". It matches the Rfam family "Bacterial small subunit ribosomal RNA", at positions 28 to 508 of the family's 1533-position model. The record is from RNAcentral.